This 436-nucleotide ribosomal RNA is filed under the name uncultured bacterium. RNAcentral's name for it is "partial 16S ribosomal RNA". It matches the Rfam family "Bacterial small subunit ribosomal RNA", at positions 29 to 507 of the family's 1533-position model. The record is from RNAcentral.
AACGAACGCUGGCGGCAUGCCUAACACAUGCAAGUCGAACGAGAUCCUUCGGGGUCUAGUGGCGCACGGGUGCGUAACGCGUGGGAAUCUGCCCUUAGGUUCGGAAUAACAGUUAGAAAUGACUGCUAAUACCGGAUGAUGACGUUAAGUCCAAAGAUUUAUCGCCUGAGGAUGAGCCCGCGUAGGAUUAGCUAGUUGGUGUGGUAAAGGCGCACCAAGGCGACGAUCCUUAGCUGGUCUGAGAGGAUGAUCAGCCACACUGGGACUGAGACACGGCCCAGACUCCUACGGGAGGCAGCAGUGGGGAAUAUUGGACAAUGGGCGCAAGCCUGAUCCAGCAAUGCCGCGUGAGUGAUGAAGGCCUUAGGGUUGUAAAGCUCUUUUACCCGGGAUGAUAAUGGCAGUACCGGGAGAAUAAGCCCCGGCUAACUCCGUG